Molecule: RNase P RNA, 351 nt
Filed under: Microdochium bolleyi
Lineage: Eukaryota; Fungi; Ascomycota; Sordariomycetes; Xylariales; Microdochiaceae
Description: Nuclear RNase P
Rfam family: Nuclear RNase P
About the family: Ribonuclease P (RNase P) is a ubiquitous endoribonuclease, found in archaea, bacteria and eukarya as well as chloroplasts and mitochondria.
Source: Rfam by way of RNAcentral
UCCUCCGGGAACUCUUGGUCACGAGGCGAUCACGGGCCGCCUUCCUUCAGCAUAUGAGAAAUUCGGAGUAAUCUUCAAUACCACACCGCAAGUCGCCCGCCCAGUUGUGGGAUCGACCGGUCUGCCCGUAAGGGUCUGGCGUGACAUCACGCCUGCAAUUGGCAUCAGAAAAGCAGGGGCCUGCCCGGGGAGUCCCUUCGCGGGGUCUCUCUGGAGCAGUGUUUCCCUAUGGGAGAGCCGUUGCGAAGAUUGUGUGCGAACACUUGAGUGCGAUACGCAGCGUGCUGUGCUGUCAUCCCUUCUUGGGGAUGACGGUGCGGCACAAUUCGAUUCUGAUUACUCUGGUGGGGA